GAUGAACGCUGGCGGCGUGCCUAAUACAUGCAAGUCGAGCGAAUGGAUUGAGAGCUUGCUCUUAUGAAGUUAGCGGCGGACGGGUGAGUAACACGUGGGUAACCUGCCCAUAAGACUGGGAUAACUCCGGGAAACCGGGGCUAAUACCGGAUAACAUUUUGAACCGCAUGGUUCGAAAUUGAAAGGCGGCUUCGGCUGUCACUUAUGGAUGGACCCGCGUCGCAUUAGCUAGUUGGUGAGGUAACGGCUCCACAAGGCAACGAUGCGGAGCCGACCUGAGAGGGAGAUCGGCCGCACUGGGACUGAGACACGGCCCAGACUCCUACGGGAGGCAGCAGUAGGGAAUCUUCCGCAAUGGACGAAAGUCUGACGGAGCAACGCCGCGUGAGUGAUGAAGGCUUUCGGGUCGUAAAACUCUGUUGUUAGGGAAGAACAAGUGCUAGUUGAAUAAGCUGGCACCUUGACGGUACCUAACCAGAAAGCCACGGCUAACUACGUGCCAGCCGCCGCAGUAA
This 515-nucleotide ribosomal RNA is filed under the name uncultured bacterium. Its description in RNAcentral is "partial 16S ribosomal RNA". It matches the Rfam family "Bacterial small subunit ribosomal RNA", at positions 28 to 523 of the family's 1533-position model. The record is from RNAcentral.